AGAGUUUGAUCCUGGCUCAGGACGAACGCUGGCGGCGUGCUUAACACAUGCAAGUCGAACGGGGCUCGCUACUUCGGUGGUGGGUCCAGUGGCGAACGGGUGAGUAACACGUGGGCAACCUGCCCCCGGCUCUGGGAUAACUCCAAGAAAUUGGGGCUAAUACCGGAUGUGACCGCUGGCCGCAUGGUCUGGUGGUGGAAAGGGUUUCCGGCUGGGGAUGGGCCCGCGGCCUAUCAGCUUGUUGGUGGGGUAGUGGCCUACCAAGGCGACGACGGGUAGCCGGCCUGAGAGGGUGACCGGCCACACUGGGACUGAGACACGGCCCAGACUCCUACGGGAGGCAGCAGUGGGGAAUAUUGCGCAAUGGGCGGAAGCCUGACGCAGCGACGCCGCGUGGGGGAUGACGGCCUUCGGGUUGUAAACCUCUUUCAGCAGGGACGAAGCUUUUGGGUGACGGUACCUGCAGAAGAAGCACCGGCCAACUACGUGCCAGCAGCCGCGGUAAUACGUAGGGUGCAAGCGUUGUCCGGAAUUAUUGGGCGUAAAGAGCUCGUAGGCGGUUUGUCGCGUCGGCUGUGAAAUCCCGGAGCUCAACUCCGGGCCUGCAGUCGAUACGGGCAGACUCGAGUGUUGCAGGGGAGACUGGAAUUCCUGGUGUAGCGGUGAAAUGCGCAGAUAUCAGGAGGAACACCGGUGGCGAAGGCGGGUCUCUGGGCAACAACUGACGCUGAGGAGCGAAAGCGUGGGGAGCGAACAGGAUUAGAUACCCUAGUAGUCC
This 778-nucleotide ribosomal RNA is filed under the name uncultured bacterium. RNAcentral's name for it is "bacterial SSU rRNA". It matches the Rfam family "Bacterial small subunit ribosomal RNA", at positions 8 to 796 of the family's 1533-position model. The record is from RNAcentral.